Molecule: ribosomal RNA, 496 nt
Filed under: uncultured bacterium
Lineage: Bacteria
Description: partial 16S ribosomal RNA
Rfam family: Bacterial small subunit ribosomal RNA
Source: RNAcentral
GACGAACGCUGGCGGCGUGCCUAAUACAUGCAAGUUGAGCGAUGAAGAUUGGUGCUUGCACCAAUUUGAAGAGCAGCGAACGGGUGAGUAACGCGUGGGGAAUCUGCCUUUGAGCGGGGGACAACAUUGGGAAACGAAUGCUAAUACCGCAUAACAACUUUAAACAUAAGGUUUAAGUGUGAAAGAUGCAAUUGCAUCACUCAAAGAUGAUCCCGCGUUCCAUUAGCUAGUUGGUAAGGUAAAGGCUUACCAAGGCAAUGAUACAUAGCCGACCUGAGAGGGGGAUCGGCCACACUGGAACUGAGACACGGUCCAGACUCCUACGGGGGGAGGCAGUAGGGAAUCUUCCGCAAUGGGCGAAAGCCUGACGGGGCAACGCCGCGUGAUGGAUGAAGGUCUUCGAAUCGAAAAACUCGGUUAUUAGGGAAGAACAAAGGUGUAAGUAACUGUGCACGUCUUGACGGUACCUAAUCAGAAAGCCACGGCUAACUACGUG